This 469-nucleotide ribosomal RNA is filed under the name uncultured bacterium. RNAcentral's name for it is "partial 16S ribosomal RNA". It matches the Rfam family "Bacterial small subunit ribosomal RNA", at positions 28 to 507 of the family's 1533-position model. The record is from RNAcentral.
GACGAACGCUGGCGGCGUGCUUAACACAUGCAAGUCGAACGAUGAAGCCUUAGCUUGCUUUGGUGGAUUAGUGGCGAACGGGUGAGUAACACGUGAGCAACGUGCCCAGGACUCUGGAAUAACCGCGGGAAACCGUGGCUAAUACCGGAUAGGUGCCGAGGCCGCAUGGUCUUCGGUUGGAAAGUUUUUGCGGUUCUGGAUCGGCUCACGGCCUAUCAGCUUGUUGGUGGGGUAAUGGCCUACCAAGGCGACGACGGGUAGCCGGCCUGAGAGGGUGACCGGCCACACUGGGACUGAGACACGGCCCAGACUCCUACGGGAGGCAGCAGUGGGGAAUAUUGCACAAUGGGCGCAAGCCUGAUGCAGCAACGCCGCGUGGGGGAUGACGGCCUUUGGGUUGUAAACCUCUUUUAGUAGGGAAGAAGCGCAAGUGACGGUACCUGCAGAAAAAGCACCGGCUAACUACGUG